GACGAACGCUGGCGGCGUGCCUAACACAUGCAAGUCGAACGGAGUUACUUUAGCUUGCUUUAGUAACUUAGUGGCGAACGGGUGAGUAACGCGUGAGAAACCUGCCUCUCAGUGGGGGACAACAGUUGGAAACGACUGCUAAUACCGCAUAAUGUAUCCGGAGGGCAUCCUCUGGAUACCAAAGCUUAAUGUGCUGAGAGAUGGUCUCGCGUCUGAUUAGCUAGAUGGCGGGGUAACGGCCCACCAUGGCGACGAUCAGUAGCCGGUCUGAGAGGAUGAACGGCCACAUUGGGACUGAGAUACGGCCCAGACUCCUACGGGAGGCAGCAGUGGGGAAUAUUGGGCAAUGGGGGAAACCCUGACCCAGCAACGCCGCGUGAAGG
Molecule: ribosomal RNA, 383 nt
Filed under: uncultured bacterium
Lineage: Bacteria
Description: bacterial SSU rRNA
Rfam family: Bacterial small subunit ribosomal RNA
Source: RNAcentral